RNAcentral lists this ribosomal RNA (256 nucleotides) under uncultured bacterium. RNAcentral describes it as "partial 16S ribosomal RNA". It matches the Rfam family "Bacterial small subunit ribosomal RNA", at positions 96 to 353 of the family's 1533-position model. The record is from RNAcentral.
UGGCGGACGGGUGAGUAAUGUCUGGGAAACUGCCUGAUGGAGGGGGAUAACUACUGGAAACGGUAGCUAAUACCGCAUAACGUCGCAAGACCAAAGAGGGGGACCUUCGGGCCUCUUGCCAUCGGAUGUGCCCAGAUGGGAUUAGCUUGUUGGUGGGGUAACGACUCACCAAGGCGACGAUCCCUAGCUGGUCUGAGAGGAUGACCAGCCACACUGGAACUGAGACACGGUCCAGACUCCUACGGGAGGCAGCAUG